GGUGAGCUACCCCGAGACAGCCUAUGUUAAUUUAGGGCUAACCCGUCUCUGUGGCAAAAGAGUGGGAAGAGCUCCGGGUAGAAGUGAAAGACCUACCGAACCUGGUGAUAGCUGGUUGACUGAGAAAUGGAUAGAAGUUCAGCCUCGCACACCCCAAACCAAAAAAUAUUAUCACCAAGAUAUUAAGGGAAACGUACGAGAGUUAGUUAAAAGGGGUACAGCCCUUUUAACAAAGGAUACAACCUUUACAGGAGGAUAAAGAUCAUAAUGUAUAAGAUAUACUGUUCUAGUGGGCCUGAAAGCAGCCACCUAAACAGAAAGCGUUAAAGCUCGGACAGAAGGAAGUUUAUUAUACUGAUAAAAAAUCUUAUUCCCCUAGCUAUAUCAGACCAACCCAUGCCCCCAUGGAAGAGAUUAUGCUAAAAUGAGUAAUAAGAAGACCCGCUCUUCUCCCAGCACAAGUGUAAACCAGAUCGGACUGACCACUGGAACUUAACGAACCCAACCCCAGAGGGUAAUGUGAUUAACAAAAAACUCAAGAAGGCCUCACAUAAUUAAUCGUUAACCCCACACUGGAGUGCUAUUUUAAGGGAAAGACUAAAAGAGGGGGAAGGAACUCGGCAAACACAAGCCUCGCCUGUUUACCAAAAACAUCGCCUCCUGCAACUAAACUGAGUAUAGGAGGUCCAGCCUGCCCAGUGACUACGGGUUCAACGGCCGCGGUAUCUUGACCGUGCAAAGGUAGCGCAAUCACUUGUCUCUUAAAUAGAGACCUGUAUGAAUGGCUAGACGAGGGCUUAACUGUCUCCCCCUUCCAGUCAGUGAAAUUGAUCUAUCCGUGCAGAAGCGGGUAUAAAUAUACAAGACGAGAAGACCCUUUGGAGCUUAAGGUACAAAAUUCAGCCACGUUAAACAACUCUAUAAGAAGCAAGAACUUAGUGAUAAUGAAAUUUUACCUUCGGUUGGGGCGACCGCGGAGGAAAAACAAGCCUCCGAGUGGACUGGGCCGAGUCCCUGAAGCCAAUAGAGACAUCUAUAAGCCGCAGAACAUCUGACCAAAAAUGAUCCGGCUAAAAGCCGAUCAACGAACCAAGUUACCCAAGGGAUAACAGCGCAAUCCCCUCCCAGAGCCCAUAUCUACGAGGGGGUUUACGACCUCGAUGUUGGAUCAGGACAUCCUAAUGGUGC
RNAcentral lists this ribosomal RNA (1188 nucleotides) under Rhynchocypris lagowskii (Amur minnow). RNAcentral describes it as "partial 16S ribosomal RNA". It matches the Rfam family "Bacterial large subunit ribosomal RNA", at positions 724 to 2556 of the family's 2925-position model. The record is from RNAcentral. Lineage: Eukaryota; Metazoa; Chordata; Actinopteri; Cypriniformes; Leuciscidae.